UACGAAGGGGGCGAGCGUUGUUCGGAAUUACUGGGCGUAAAGGGCGCGUAGGCGGCCGAUCAAGUUAGAUGUGAAAGUCCUGGGCUUAACCUGGGGACUGCAUUUGAUACUGAUUGGCUUGAAUUCGGGAGAGGAUAGCGGAAUUCCCAGUGUAGAGGUGAAAUUCGUAGAUAUCUGGAGGAACACCGGUGGCGAAGGCGGCAUCCUGGACCAAUUCUGACGCUGAGUGAGCGAAAGCCAGGGGAGCAAACGGG
Molecule: ribosomal RNA, 254 nt
Filed under: uncultured bacterium
Lineage: Bacteria
Description: partial 16S ribosomal RNA
Rfam family: Bacterial small subunit ribosomal RNA
Source: RNAcentral